RNAcentral lists this ribosomal RNA (945 nucleotides) under Triticum aestivum (bread wheat). RNAcentral describes it as "partial small subunit ribosomal RNA". Lineage: Eukaryota; Viridiplantae; Streptophyta; Magnoliopsida; Poales; Poaceae. The record is from RNAcentral.
GCCUGCGUCCUCAGCCUCCCUGAAGGCACCGUCCACCGCGUCCCCGUGCCAGUUCCCGACGACGUCAUCCAGAGCGUCUCCACCGGCGCCAUGCUCUUUCUCGUGCACCGCGACGGCGGGUGCUCCCUCAUGGACCCUCUCUCCACGACGAUCACCCCUCAGCACAUCAGCCCCGACUGCCUCUGGCCCUCGAGGCCGUCGAAGAGGCAGAGGGCAGCGGUUCCCCCCUUCGCUGGCAACAUCUCCAAGGUGGUGGUGGCGGACCACGUCGUGGCCGUCCGGACUGGCGUCAACCUUGGGUCAAAGAAGGUCGCUCUCUCUGCCCGCGGACCCAGAGGCCGCCGCUACAUGGCGUGGGAGUGGGACCCGCCCCACUACUUGGACAGCGUCGUCGACAUUGCGCUCUUCAGAAGGAAGCUCUACGUUCUAACGAGAGUACACAAUGACCCAUGCCGGACUGAGCUCUACGUCCUGGAAGACAACCUCCCCGCCGGCGAUGUCACAUACAUGCAGUGCAUAUGCAGUGAACCCCCGGCCAGGCCGGAGCAAUCGUACUACCACAGGGCUGACCCGUCCUACUACUACUACCUGGUCUCAUCAGGCGAUCGGCUUCUGAUGGUGAUGGAGCACGCCGCCGCGCCGGCCAAGUUCGAGGUCUUUGAGGCGGCGGGGCUAGGCAGUGGCCACGGACGGUGGAGCAAGAUCGAGACGCUGGAUGGUCGUGCUCUGUUCGUGAGCAAAGGCUGCUCGAAGUCGCUUCCCGCUGGUGAGCUGGUUGGAGCUCGAGAGGACCACAUCUACUUCAUCAGUAAGCGUGACGACUCGGACAACGAGUCCAGCGAGGAGCUCCACUCCGGCGUGUACAGCAUGAAGGAAGGGAAGGUGGCACCGUUGCCGUUGGAGACGACAGGCGCAUGGCAAGGUCGUGCAUGGCCGCCGACCUGG